Molecule: transfer RNA, 83 nt
Filed under: Candidatus Aminicenantota bacterium
Lineage: Bacteria; Candidatus Aminicenantota
Description: Candidatus Aminicenantes bacterium tRNA-Tyr
Rfam family: tRNA
About the family: Transfer RNA (tRNA) molecules are approximately 80 nucleotides in length. Their secondary structure includes four short double-helical elements and three loops (D, anti-codon, and T loops). Further hydrogen bonds mediate the characteristic L-shaped molecular structure. tRNAs have two regions of fundamental functional importance: the anti-codon, which is responsible for specific mRNA codon recognition, and the 3' end, to which the tRNAs corresponding amino acid is attached (by aminoacyl-tRNA synthetases). tRNAs cope with the degeneracy of the genetic code in two manners: having more than one tRNA (with a specific anti-codon) for a particular amino acid; and 'wobble' base-pairing, i.e. permitting non-standard base-pairing at the 3rd anti-codon position.
Source: RNAcentral
GGGCAGGUGGCCGAGUGGUUAAAGGCAGUAGGCUGUAAACCUACUCCCUUCGGGGUACGGGGGUUCGAAUCCCUCCCUGCCCA